RNAcentral lists this ribosomal RNA (1609 nucleotides) under Escherichia coli 668. RNAcentral describes it as "bacterial LSU rRNA". It matches the Rfam family "Bacterial large subunit ribosomal RNA", at positions 1221 to 2812 of the family's 2925-position model. The record is from RNAcentral. Lineage: Bacteria; Pseudomonadati; Pseudomonadota; Gammaproteobacteria; Enterobacterales; Enterobacteriaceae.
UUGUUGGGUAGGGGAGCGUUCUGUAAGCCUGUGAAGGUGUACUGUGAGGUAUGCUGGAGGUAUCAGAAGUGCGAAUGCUGACAUAAGUAACGAUAAAGCGGGUGAAAAGCCCGCUCGCCGGAAGACCAAGGGUUCCUGUCCAACGUUAAUCGGGGCAGGGUGAGUCGACCCCUAAGGCGAGGCCGAAAGGCGUAGUCGAUGGGAAACAGGUUAAUAUUCCUGUACUUGGUGUUACUGCGAAGGGGGGACGGAGAAGGCUAUGUUGGCCGGGCGACGGUUGUCCCGGUUUAAGCGUGUAGGCUGGUUUUCCAGGCAAAUCCGGAAAAUCAAGGCUGAGGCGUGAUGACGAGGCACUACGGUGCUGAAGCAACAAAUGCCCUGCUUCCAGGAAAAGCCUCUAAGCAUCAGGUAACAUCAAAUCGUACCCCAAACCGACACAGGUGGUCAGGUAGAGAAUACCAAGGCGCUUGAGAGAACUCGGGUGAAGGAACUAGGCAAAAUGGUGCCGUAACUUCGGGAGAAGGCACGCUGAUAUGUAGGUGAAGUCCCUUGCGGAUGGAGCUGAAAUCAGUCGAAGAUACCAGCUGGCUGCAACUGUUUAUUAAAAACACAGCACUGUGCAAACACGAAAGUGGACGUAUACGGUGUGACGCCUGCCCGGUGCCGGAAGGUUAAUUGAUGGGGUUAGCGGUAACGCGAAGCUCUUGAUCGAAGCCCCGGUAAACGGCGGCCGUAACUAUAACGGUCCUAAGGUAGCGAAAUUCCUUGUCGGGUAAGUUCCGACCUGCACGAAUGGCGUAAUGAUGGCCAGGCUGUCUCCACCCGAGACUCAGUGAAAUUGAACUCGCUGUGAAGAUGCAGUGUACCCGCGGCAAGACGGAAAGACCCCGUGAACCUUUACUAUAGCUUGACACUGAACAUUGAGCCUUGAUGUGUAGGAUAGGUGGGAGGCUUUGAAGUGUGGACGCCAGUCUGCAUGGAGCCGGCCUUGAAAUACCACCCUUUAAUGUUUGAUGUUCUAACGUUGGCCCCUGAUCGGGGUUGCGGACAGUGUCUGGUGGGUAGUUUGACUGGGGCGGUCUCCUCCUAAAGAGUAACGGAGGAGCACGAAGGUUGGCUAAUCCUGGUCGGACAUCAGGAGGUUAGUGCAAUGGCAUAAGCCAGCUUGACUGCGAGCGUGACGGCGCGAGCAGGUGCGAAAGCAGGUCAUAGUGAUCCGGUGGUUCUGAAUGGAAGGGCCAUCGCUCAACGGAUAAAAGGUACUCCGGGGAUAACAGGCUGAUACCGCCCAAGAGUUCAUAUCGACGGCGGUGUUUGGCACCUCGAUGUCGGCUCAUCACAUCCUGGGGCUGAAGUAGGUCCCAAGGGUAUGGCUGUUCGCCAUUUAAAGUGGUACGCGAGCUGGGUUUAGAACGUCGUGAGACAGUUCGGUCCCUAUCUGCCGUGGGCGCUGGAGAACUGAGGGGGGCUGCUCCUAGUACGAGAGGACCGGAGUGGACGCAUCACUGGUGUUCGGGUUGUCAUGCCAAUGGCACUGCCCGGUAGCUAAAUGCGGAAGAGAUAAGUGCUGAAAGCAUCUAAGCACGAAACUUGCCCCGAGAUGAGUUCU